Molecule: ribosomal RNA, 449 nt
Filed under: uncultured prokaryote
Description: bacterial SSU rRNA
Rfam family: Bacterial small subunit ribosomal RNA
Source: RNAcentral
UAGGGAAUCUUGGUCGAUGGGCGCAAGCCUGAACCAGCCAUGCCGCGUGUGCGAAGAAGGCCCUAGGGUUGUAAAGCACUUUCAGUCGUGAAGAAAUGCUUCGGGUUAAUACCCCGGAGUUUUGACGUUAACGACAGAAGAAGAUCCGGCUAACUCCGUGCCAGCAGCCGCGGUAAUACGGAGGGAUCGAACGUUAAUCGGAAUUACUGGGCGUAAAGCGCGCGUAGGCGGUCUGAUAAGUGGGAUGUGAAAGCCCCGGGCUCAACCUGGGAACUGCAUUCCAAACUGUCAGACUAGAGUAUGGUAGAGGGUGGUAGAAUUUCCUGUGUAGCGGUGAAAUGCGUAGAUAUAGGAAGGAAUACCGAUGGCGAAGGCAGCCACCUGGACCAAUACUGACGCUGAGGUGCGAAAGCGUGGGGAGCAAACAGGAUUAGAUACCCCCGUAGUCC